GGUCGGGUGGCGUAAUGGUAGCGCGUGGUCCUCCUAUUUUCACAAAAGUUUAUCUCCGUAAAAAUGGAGAUUUAUGGUGUGAAUGGGACAGACUGAGGUUGUGGGUUCGAGUCCCACCUCGAUCG
Podospora fimiseda is the source of this 125-nucleotide non-coding RNA. The record is from the annotation of a GenBank genome assembly. NCBI's taxonomy places the organism in Eukaryota, Fungi, Ascomycota, Sordariomycetes, Sordariales, Podosporaceae.